This 245-nucleotide long non-coding RNA is filed under the name Cucumis sativus (cucumber). RNAcentral's name for it is "long non-coding RNA (CSAT_LNC002326)". The record is from RNAcentral. Lineage: Eukaryota; Viridiplantae; Streptophyta; Magnoliopsida; Cucurbitales; Cucurbitaceae.
UAAAAGGUAAUGAUAUUAUUAUACAACAACAAAGUGGACCUCACAGCCUGAGGCCUAGGCACAAGAAUGGAUAACGCUCACAUAGACAUGACAAAAUUUUAAAAGACCAAAGAAAGGCACGAGCCAAAUCAAAAGAUUAAUAACAAAAACAACACAAAACAAAACAGAACCAAACAGAGGAAUUAGAACCCCACAGCCCGGGGACAAGCAAAGAAAGGAAAGACAAAAGGAAGCAACUAAAUAAG